CUUUUGCUGGCGACCGGCGCACGGGUGAGUAACACGUAUCCGACCUGCCCUUUACUCGGGGAUAGCCUUUCGAAAGAAAGAUUAAUACCCGAUAGCAUAAUGAUUCCGCAUGGUUUCAUUAUUAAAGGAUUCCGGUAAAGGAUGGGGAUGCGUUCCAUUAGGUUGUUGGUGAGGUAACGGCUCACCAAGCCUUCGAUGGAUAGGGGUUCUGAGAGGAAGGUCCCCCACAUUGGAACUGAGACACGGUCCAA
This 251-nucleotide ribosomal RNA is filed under the name uncultured bacterium. RNAcentral describes it as "partial 16S ribosomal RNA". It matches the Rfam family "Bacterial small subunit ribosomal RNA", at positions 78 to 334 of the family's 1533-position model. The record is from RNAcentral.